UACGGAGGGUGCAAACGUUGCUCGGAAUCAUUGGGCGUAAAGCGCACGUAGGCGGCUCGUUAAGUCGGGUGUGAAAGCCCUGGGCUCAACCCAGGAAGUGCACUCGAAACUGGCAAGCUUGAAUAUGGCAGAGGGUCGCGGAAUUCCCGGUGUAGAGGUGAAAUUCGUAGAUAUCGGGAGGAACACCAGUGGCGAAGGCGGCGACCUGGGCCAAUAUUGACGCUGAGGUGCGAAAGCGUGGGGAGCAAACAGG
Molecule: ribosomal RNA, 253 nt
Filed under: uncultured bacterium
Lineage: Bacteria
Description: partial 16S ribosomal RNA
Rfam family: Bacterial small subunit ribosomal RNA
Source: RNAcentral